This 701-nucleotide ribosomal RNA is filed under the name Kluyvera sp. 6hR65. Its description in RNAcentral is "bacterial SSU rRNA". It matches the Rfam family "Bacterial small subunit ribosomal RNA", at positions 63 to 755 of the family's 1533-position model. Lineage: Bacteria; Pseudomonadati; Pseudomonadota; Gammaproteobacteria; Enterobacterales; Enterobacteriaceae. The record is from RNAcentral.
CGAACGGUAGCACAGAGAGCUUGCUCUUGGGUGACGAGUGGCGGACGGGUGAGUAAUGUCUGGGAAACUGCCCGAUGGAGGGGGAUAACUACUGGAAACGGUAGCUAAUACCGCAUAACGUCGCAAGACCAAAGUGGGGGACCUUCGGGCCUCACACCAUCGGAUGUGCCCAGAUGGGAUUAGCUAGUAGGUGGGGUAAUGGCUCACCUAGGCGACGAUCCCUAGCUGGUCUGAGAGGAUGACCAGCCACACUGGAACUGAGACACGGUCCAGACUCCUACGGGAGGCAGCAGUGGGGAAUAUUGCACAAUGGGCGCAAGCCUGAUGCAGCCAUGCCGCGUGUAUGAAGAAGGCCUUCGGGUUGUAAAGUACUUUCAGCGAGGAGGAAGGCAUUAAGGUUAAUAACCUUGGUGAUUGACGUUACUCGCAGAAGAAGCACCGGCUAACUCCGUGCCAGCAGCCGCGGUAAUACGGAGGGUGCAAGCGUUAAUCGGAAUUACUGGGCGUAAAGCGCACGCAGGCGGUCUGUCAAGUCGGAUGUGAAAUCCCCGGGCUCAACCUGGGAACUGCAUUCGAAACUGGCAGGCUAGAGUCUUGUAGAGGGGGGUAGAAUUCCAGGUGUAGCGGUGAAAUGCGUAGAGAUCUGGAGGAAUACCGGUGGCGAAGGCGGCCCCCUGGACAAAGACUGACGCUCAGGUGCG